RNAcentral lists this ribosomal RNA (484 nucleotides) under uncultured bacterium. Its description in RNAcentral is "partial 16S ribosomal RNA". It matches the Rfam family "Bacterial small subunit ribosomal RNA", at positions 30 to 507 of the family's 1533-position model. The record is from RNAcentral.
AUUGAACGCUGGCGGCAGGCCUAACACAUGCAAGUCGAGCGGAUGAAGGGAGCUUGCUCCUGGAUUCAGCGGCGGACGGGUGAGUAAUGCCUAGGAAUCUGCCUGGUAGUGGGGGAUAACGUCCGGAAACGGGCGCUAAUACCGCAUACGUCCUGAGGGAGAAAGUGGGGAAUCUUCGGACCUCACGCUAUCAGAUGAGCCUAGGUCGGAUUAGCUAGUUGGUGGGGUAAAGGCCUACCAAGGCGACGAUCCGUAACUGGUCUGAGAGGAUGAUCAGUCACACUGGAACUGAGACACGGUCCAGACUCCUACGGGAGGCAGCAGUGGGGAAUAUUGGACAAUGGGCGAAAGCCUGAUGCAGCCAUGCCGCGUGUGUGAAGAAGGUCUUCGGAUUGUAAAGCACUUUAAGUUGGGAGGAAGGGCAGUAAGUUAAUACCUUGCUGUUUUGACGUUACCAACAGAAUAAGCACCGGCUAACUUCGUG